GACGAACGCUGGCGGCGUGCUUAACACAUGCAAGUCGAACGGAAAGGCCCUGCUUUUGGGGGGUGCUCGAGUGGCGAACGGGUGAGUAACACGUGAGUAACCUGCCCUUGACUUUGGGAUAACUUCUGGAAACUGGGGCUAAUACCGGAUAGGAGCUCCUGCUGCAUGGUGGGGGUUGGAAAGUUUCGGCGGUUGGGGAUGGACUCGCGGCUUAUCAGCUUGUUGGUGGGGUAGUGGCUUACCAAGGCUUUGACGGGUAGCCGGCCUGAGAGGGUGACCGGCCACAUUGGGACUGAGAUACGGCCCAGACUCCUACGGGAGGCAGCAGUGGGGAAUAUUGCACAAUGGGCGGAAGCCUGAUGCAGCAACGCCGCGUGCGGGAUGACGGCCUUCGGGUUGUAAACCGCUUUCGCCUGUGACGAAGCGUGAGUGACGGUAAUGGGUAAAGAAGCACCGGCUAACUACGUG
RNAcentral lists this ribosomal RNA (468 nucleotides) under uncultured bacterium. RNAcentral describes it as "partial 16S ribosomal RNA". It matches the Rfam family "Bacterial small subunit ribosomal RNA", at positions 28 to 507 of the family's 1533-position model. The record is from RNAcentral.